This 501-nucleotide long non-coding RNA is filed under the name Mus spicilegus (steppe mouse). RNAcentral's name for it is "lncRNA (ENSMSIG00000008011.1)". Lineage: Eukaryota; Metazoa; Chordata; Mammalia; Rodentia; Muridae. The record is from RNAcentral.
CUCUGCCCUUUCUUUUUCCUUCCCUCCCAUUAGUUCUGUUCCUUAAACAGUAUAACUUGUUCUAAUUUUGUGAUACUUAAAAAUCAUAACAAAAUGUACUUCAUAUUCAUACUUGCAUAGGAGAUAUCUUAAUGGAUAAAAGCAAAGUAUAAUUCAAAAUAAAUUUUAGAACUAUUUGUUGCUAAUGUAAAUCAUUUUAUAGUUCUCUAACAUGUGAAUAUAUCAAAAUAUGAUAUAACAAAAAUUAAGUCUAAGGCAAUCUUCUGGGGGUUGUGUAUUUUGGCAAGCAGCAAGUUAAUGUGGAGUUUGUGUAUUUACAGCAUCAGAACUGAGUCUCAAUAGGGCAUUCAGAAAGUCCUUCAAAUGGAGCCUCAAUCAAGAAAAUUACAACACAGGGACAACAGCACUUUCUCCACAGACAACUGCACUUUCCCACUCAAGUAUGCUUUAACGGAUGGAGAAAGAGUACAUGAGGAUUUGGAGAUUUCGGGAGCCCUGUGA